This 380-nucleotide unclassified non-coding RNA is filed under the name uncultured bacterium. RNAcentral's name for it is "contains 16S-23S intergenic spacer region". The record is from RNAcentral.
UCCGAUUUGAAUAUCGGCAGUCUCGUUAGAGUGCCCGACUUUACGCUGGCAACUAACGACAAGGGUUGCGCUCGUUGCGGGACUUAACCCAACAUCUCACGACACGAGCUGACGACAGCCAUGCAGCACCUAACUACAGGUUCUCCGAAGAGCACCCCGAUUUUUCGACCAGGUUCCUGCAUUUUCUAGCCCAGGUAAGGUUCUGCGCGUUGCGUCGAAUUGAACCACAUGCUCCACCGCUUGUGCGGGCCCCCGUCAAUUCCUUUGAGUUUCAGUCUUGCGACCGUACUCCCCAGGCGGAUUGCUUAUCGCGUUAGCUGCGGCACGAUCGGAUUGGGUACCGAUCACACCAAGCAAUCAUCGUUUAGGGCUAGGACUAC